GUAGUCAUAUGCUUGUCUCAAAGAUUAAGCCAUGCAUGUCUAAGUAUAAACCAAUUUGUACGGUGAAACUGCGAAUGGCUCAUUAUAUCAGUUAUUGUUUAUUUGAUGAUACCUUGCCACUUGGAUAACCGUGGUAAUUCUAGAGCUAAUACAUGCACGAAACCCCGACUUCCGGAAGGGGUGUAUUUAUUAGGUAAAAGCCAACCCGGGGCAACCCGGCCGCUGGUGAUUCAUGAUAACUUUGCGAACCGCAUGCCCUUGCGGCGGCGGUGGAUCAUUCAAAUUUCUGCCCUAUCAACUUUCGACGAUAGGAUAGAGGCCUAUCGUGGUUUCAACGGGUAACGGGGAAUA
RNAcentral lists this ribosomal RNA (351 nucleotides) under uncultured fungus. RNAcentral's name for it is "SSU rRNA". It matches the Rfam family "Eukaryotic small subunit ribosomal RNA", at positions 20 to 371 of the family's 1831-position model. Lineage: Eukaryota; Fungi. The record is from RNAcentral.